Molecule: ribosomal RNA, 102 nt
Filed under: uncultured bacterium
Lineage: Bacteria
Description: partial 16S ribosomal RNA
Source: RNAcentral
UUUUCGGAUCGUAAACUCCUUUCGAUCGAGACGAACGGCCUCUGGGCUAACAUCCCGGAGGAUUGACGGUACCGAGAGAAGAAGCCCCGGCUAACUCCGUGC